CCUGCUCUCUGAGGAGGUGACAGGUGACUCUCCUUGAGGAGGUGACAGUUCCUGCUCUCUGAGGAGGUACCAGGAGCCCACACUGUGUCUGAGCCCCCCC
Long non-coding RNA from Corapipo altera (White-ruffed manakin), 100 nucleotides. RefSeq lists it as uncharacterized. Lineage: Eukaryota; Metazoa; Chordata; Aves; Passeriformes; Pipridae. The record is from RefSeq and is a predicted model, not a curated record. The transcript is spliced from 3 exons.